AAACUGAAGAGUUUGAUCCUGGCUCAGAUUGAACGCUGGCGGCAUGCUUUACACAUGCAAGUCGAGCGGCAGCGCGGGGGCAACCCUGGCGGCGAGCGGCGAACGGGUGAGUAAUACAUCGGAACGUGUCCCGUAGUGGGGGAUAGC
RNAcentral lists this ribosomal RNA (147 nucleotides) under Pseudomonadota bacterium. RNAcentral describes it as "partial 16S ribosomal RNA". It matches the Rfam family "Bacterial small subunit ribosomal RNA", at positions 1 to 147 of the family's 1533-position model. The record is from RNAcentral. RNAcentral also lists the same sequence under 1 other name. Lineage: Bacteria; Pseudomonadati; Pseudomonadota.